AACGAACGCUGGCGGCAUGCCUAACACAUGCAAGUCGAACGAGACCUUCGGGUCUAGUGGCGCACGGGUGCGUGACGCGUGGGAACCUGCCCUUAGGUUCGGAAUAACUCCCCGAAAGGGGUGCUAAUACCGGAUAAUGUCUUCGGACCAAAGAUUUAUCGCCUUUGGAUGGGCCCGCGUUGGAUUAGCUAGUUGGUAGGGUAAAAGCCUACCAAGGCGACGAUCCAUAGCUGGUCUGAGAGGAUGAUCAGCCACACUGGGACUGAGACACGGCCCAGACUCCUACGGGAGGCAGCAGUGGGGAAUAUUGGACAAUGGGCGAAAGCCUGAUCCAGCAAUGCCGCGUGAAUGAUGAAGGCCUUAGGGUUGUAAAGCUCUUUUACCCGUGAUGAUAAUGACAGUACCGGGAGAAUAAGCUCCGGCUAACUCCGUG
This 433-nucleotide ribosomal RNA is filed under the name uncultured bacterium. Its description in RNAcentral is "partial 16S ribosomal RNA". It matches the Rfam family "Bacterial small subunit ribosomal RNA", at positions 29 to 507 of the family's 1533-position model. The record is from RNAcentral.